CACACACACACACACACACACACACACACACACACACACACACACACACACACACACACACACACACACACACACACACACACUCAUGAGAUGAGGUAACAGUAUAUCAGGCACACACGGACAAAUACACAAAGCACACACACACUGAAUGUGAAUAAAAGAGUAGGGCGUGAAGUGCUGAUUGAAAUAUGGAGGUCUGCAUUUCAGAGAAGGCAUCUUGAAUCCCAUAGAUCUUAUUUAAUUUGGCAUUCCAUCAUAUUUACAAUGAUACCAUAUCCAACCCCUCCCUGGGCCUCUAAGGGCCCAUUGAACCCAUUACACCCACUCCCUUUUUGCUCCCUACUGACUCCUUCUCCUACUCCCUCUCUCUCUCUCUCUCUCUCUCUCUCUCUCUCUCUCUCUCUCUCUCUCUCUCUCUCUCUCUCUCUCUCUCUCUCUCUCUCUCUCUCUCUCUCUCUCUCUCUCUAUCUCUCCUCUCUCUCCCUCCCUCUCUCUCUCUCUCCCUCUCUCUCUCUCCCUCUCUCUCAGUCUAUUCCUCAUCCUCCCUCCUCUCCCUCUGUGCCCUGGGUCUCUCUCCCUACUUUCCCAAGGACGCCUCUGUUUGACUGUCUCCAAAGCAAACACAUGGAGACAGACAGGCCCUCUCUCCACUGGCCAUGAUCAAAUCGCACAUAAUCAUCUCCAAGCAAGCUCUCUCACUCUCUAUCUCUCACACUCUCUCUCUCACACUCUCUCUCCAGUAACCUUUCUAUAGCACCAAUCCUCAAUCAUCCCAGUGUCUCUCUGGGAAAUGCAGUCCAAUAAUAUUUUAGUUAAUCUAUCUAUGGAAGCCAAUAAUUCAACUGUUCACUUUUAUAAAACACAUGCACAUGCCUGCUACGAUCUAUAGUCUAAUUGUCACCUCUCUCUCUCUCUCUCUCUCUCUCUCUCUCUCUCUCUCUCUCUCUCUUUCGCUCUCUCUCUUUCUCUUUUUCUCUUUUUCUCUCGCUCUCUCACUCUCUCUCACUCUCGCUCUCGGUCUCACCUCUCUCGCUCUCUCUUUCUUUCUCUCUCUCUCUCUCCCUCUCUCUCUCUUUCUCUCUACCUCUCUCACUGUGUCUUUCCUUCAGAGUUUGCCUUGCUGGGAAACUGACAGCAAGAUCAGCUGUGAGCAGACAUUGCAGAAAGGGGAGGGGCCUAAGACCGCCUGGACACGGGAGCUAACCAAUGACGGCGAGCUGAUUCUGACCAUGAGCGCAGACGACGUGAUCUGCACCCGAAUCUACAUACGAGAAUGAAUGAGAGACCCCCUCUCUCUCCAUCCCUCCAUCCUCCAUCCCUCUCUCUCCAUCCCUCCAUCCUCCAUCCCUCUCUCUCCAUCCCUCCAUCCUCCAUCCUUCUCUCUCCAUCCCUCCAUCCUCCAUCCCUCUCUCUCCAUCCCUCCAUCCUCCAUCCCUCUCUUUCCAUCCCUCCAUCCCUCUCUCUCUCCGGGGCGACCUUGACCCCCAGCGCCCAAUCACCCUGAGCCCCAGGGAGGGAGACCCCGUAGCCCCAGUCCCGACUGCACCAGUGUAUAUGCAUAAUACUGUAUACCAUAGCUUCAUUAUGCCACUAGUCUUGCCCUACAGUAUGUUUCACAUGUAGUCCUUUGUUCAUAGUCUUUGCACGCAGUAUUUUUAGCUUCCCUGAAGCUGUGACCCAUUUGGGGUUGUAAACAAAGUGUUGCGUAUAUGUUGUGUCACAUUUCUUGGAAGUCUGAUCGUCUGCAUGAGUACCAACUUAUCGCUGUGUUUCCAGAAGAGAUAGCAUGCGUGCAAGCGUCUGCAUGCAUGUACUUGUGCAUGUGUCUGUGUGCGCCUGUGUUUGUAUGUGUGUGUGAGUUUGUGUGUAUGCGUUUGCAUGCACAUCAUGGACUAUAUUUGUAGUUGUGUGUAAGCCAAUCUCUGAGCCCUUCUAAUCUUAGGUCAGUUGUGAUGUGUCCAUUAUCUUUGUUCCUGUCCUACCCACCCUUCCGCCUUCUUUUCUAUCAUCUUUUGUAUUUAUUUCUAUCCACUAGUCUCAUACAGCACCCUUAGGGUUUUUCACUUUGUGUCUCUUUUAUAAAAAAAUGUAUCAGUGUAAGCAACACUCGAUGGAGGACAAUAAACUACAAUGUUGACUCACACAA
Long non-coding RNA from Gadus macrocephalus (Pacific cod), 2146 nucleotides. RefSeq lists it as uncharacterized. The transcript has 2 exons. The record is from RefSeq and is a predicted model, not a curated record. Lineage: Eukaryota; Metazoa; Chordata; Actinopteri; Gadiformes; Gadidae.